RNAcentral lists this ribosomal RNA (443 nucleotides) under uncultured bacterium. RNAcentral's name for it is "partial 16S ribosomal RNA". It matches the Rfam family "Bacterial small subunit ribosomal RNA", at positions 338 to 795 of the family's 1533-position model. The record is from RNAcentral.
CCUACGGGUGGCUGCAGUGAGGAAUAUUGGGCAAUGGGCGCAAGCCUGACCCAGCAACGCCGCGUGAAGGAAGAAGGCUUUCGGGUUGUAAACUUCUUUUGUCAGGGACGAAGCAAGUGACGGUACCUGACGAAUAAGCCACGGCUAACUACGUGCCAGCAGCCGCGGUAAUAAGUAGGUGGCAAGCGUUAUCCGGAUUUACUGGGUGUAAAGGGCGUGUAGGCGGGGAAGCAAGUCAGAUGUGAAUACCACGGGCUCAACCUGUGGCCUGCCUUUGAAACUGUUUUGCUUGAGUGCUGGGGCGGCGAGCGGAAUUCGGGGUGUAGCGGUGAAAUGCGUAGAUAUACGGAGGAACACCAGUUGCGAAGGCGGAUUGCUGGACAGUAACUGACGCUGAGGCGCGAAAGCGUGGGGAGCAAACAGGAUUAGAUACCCCUGUAGUC